RNAcentral lists this ribosomal RNA (301 nucleotides) under uncultured bacterium. RNAcentral describes it as "partial 16S ribosomal RNA". It matches the Rfam family "Bacterial small subunit ribosomal RNA", at positions 509 to 809 of the family's 1533-position model. The record is from RNAcentral.
CAGUAGCCGCGGUAAUACGAAGGGGGCUAGCGUUGUUCGGAAUUACUGGGCGUAAAGGGCGCGUAGGCGGCCAUUCAAGUUAGAUGUGAAAGCCCUGGGCUCAACCUAGGAAUUGCAUUUGAUACUGUUUGGCUUGAGUUCGGGAGAGGUGAGUGGAAUUCCCAGUGUAGAGGUGAAAUUCGUAGAUAUUGGGAAGAACACCAGUGGCGAAGGCGGCUCACUGGACCGACACUGACGCUGAGGCGCGAAAGCGUGGGGAGCAAACAGGAUUAGAUACCCGAGUAGUCCCUGUCUCUUAUAU